RNAcentral lists this ribosomal RNA (496 nucleotides) under uncultured bacterium. Its description in RNAcentral is "partial 16S ribosomal RNA". It matches the Rfam family "Bacterial small subunit ribosomal RNA", at positions 29 to 507 of the family's 1533-position model. The record is from RNAcentral.
AUGAACGCUGGCGGCGUGCCUCAUACAUGCAAGUCGAGCGAACAGACGAGGAGCCUGCUCCUCUGACGUUAGCGGCGGACGGGUGAGUAACACGUGGAUAACCUACCUAUAAGACUGGGAUAACUUCGGGAAACCGGAGCUAAUACCGGAUAAUAUAUUGAACCGCAUGGUUCAAUAGUGAAAGACGGUUUUGCUGUCACUUAUAGAUGGAUCCGCGCCGCAUUAGCUAGUUGGUAAGGUAACGGCUUACCAAGGCAACGAUGCGUAGCCGACCUGAGAGGGUGAUCGGCCACACUGGAACUGAGACACGGUCCAGACUCCUACGGGAGGCAGCAGUAGGGAAUCUUCCGCAAUGGGCGAAAGCUUGACGGAGCAACGCCGCGUGAGUGAUGAAGGUCUUCGGAUCGUAAAACUCUGUUAUUAGGGAAGAACAAAUGUGUAAGUAACUAUGCACGUCUUGACGGUACCUAAUCAGAAAGCCACGGCUAACUACGUG